Molecule: long non-coding RNA, 979 nt
Organism: Drosophila willistoni
Lineage: Eukaryota; Metazoa; Arthropoda; Insecta; Diptera; Drosophilidae
Exons: 3
Source: RefSeq, a predicted model, not a curated record
UAUGUUACUUUUAUUAAAUACCUUAAACACAUGUAUAAAUAUACAAAAAAAAAAAGAAUUAAUUUUAGACAUGGUUUCUUGGUCAAUAAGAAUUCUUCGUAGAAUCCGAAUCUGAUGGACGAUUAUGUCGUUUUUUUAUUACGUAUUUAUAUAAUAGAACAGUAUCAGGCCGAGUAACAGAGCAUUAUGGAGAGCCCAUAAAUCCGAUUUUGAUUCGUCACUGCCUGAAUCUAAGGUCAUUUUGGAAAUUGUCUGUCCUAAAUCGUGGGAUUACAAAUAUUGUAUAUUGGUUGAUUGUCGAUUCAAUUAUUUGAAAGGCACUUGCAUCGUAAGCUUCAGCAUUAUAAUCGUUUAUUGUCUAUUAUAUGAUUGAGAGUGCCCUACUCUGCAAUUUGCAUACUCUGCAUUUUGUAUACCCUUCCAAUCGAAAUUGGACAACAACGCAUACAAGAAAGCAUUUCAAAGAAAGCAAGACGAGUUCACAUAUCAAUUUCUGUCCGGUAGUUUGGAUCAAUGCAACGUCUCCUAGACCGCCUAAGUUGAUAUCGGAUGUGACUACUAUAUCAUUUAGCCCCCAUUUGUAUACUCUUGCAGGGGGUAUUAUAAAAUUGGUCAGAUGUUUGUAACGCACAGAAGCCUGAGAAGCUGAGUCGAUAUAGCCGUCCGUCGGUGUGUAUCCGUUUUUCUCAGCCAUCUCAUAAAGUAUGAAAAUUAUGAUAGGUGAAGAAAUUGGAGUAAAUUCGAUACCAAUAUGAUAGUUUUGGAUAUAAAACCUCAGAUCCCAAAAUUUGAAUCUGAUCUGAUAAAUACAACACAAGUCACAGUCUUACGGUAUCGGAGAAGUUUGCGUUGAUCCAGACAGACGAACAGGCGGUCGAAGAUUCCCUUUGCCCACUUAUGAGAAAAGUGUACAUACACUUUUUGCAAGGGUCCAAAAAUGUUUCGAAUUUUAACAACCGUAGAUAUUUAUACGGGCGGA